Molecule: transfer RNA, 73 nt
Filed under: Stegodyphus mimosarum
Lineage: Eukaryota; Metazoa; Arthropoda; Arachnida; Araneae; Eresidae
Rfam family: tRNA
About the family: Transfer RNA (tRNA) molecules are approximately 80 nucleotides in length. Their secondary structure includes four short double-helical elements and three loops (D, anti-codon, and T loops).
Source: Rfam by way of RNAcentral
GCCUUCGUGGUGUAGAGGUCAGCACGCUCGACGCGUAACCGAGAGGUCCGUGGUUCGAUUCCCGGCGAAGGCG